Molecule: ribosomal RNA, 498 nt
Filed under: Septoria taraxaci
Lineage: Eukaryota; Fungi; Ascomycota; Dothideomycetes; Mycosphaerellales; Mycosphaerellaceae
Description: eukaryotic LSU rRNA
Rfam family: 5.8S ribosomal RNA (bases 158-311)
Source: RNAcentral
AGGGAUCAUUACUGAGUGAGGGCCUUCGGGCUCGACCUCCAACCCUUUGUGAACACAACUUGUUGCUUCGGGGGCGACCCUGCCGUUUCGACGGCGAGCGCCCCCGGAGACCAUCAAACACUGCAUCUUUGCGUCGGAGUUUAAGUAAAUUAAACAAAACUUUCAACAACGGAUCUCUUGGUUCUGGCAUCGAUGAAGAACGCAGCGAAAUGCGAUAAGUAAUGUGAAUUGCAGAAUUCAGUGAAUCAUCGAAUCUUUGAACGCACAUUGCGCCCUUCGGUAUUCCGAAGGGCAUGCCUGUUCGAGCGUCAUUUCACCACUCAAGCCUGGCUUGGUAUUGGGCGCCGCGGUCAAUCCGCGCGCCUCAAAGUCUCCGGCUGAGCUGUCCGUCUCUAAGCGUUGUGAUUUCAUUAAUCGCUUCGGAGUGCGGGCGGCCGCGGCCGUUAAAUCUUUCACAAGGUUGACCUCGGAUCAGGUAGGGAUACCCGCUGAACUUAA